AAAAAGUGGUGCUCGUAUGAAACCUAAACGCCACUGAAACUGUAGAAGACGAUUGCGAUGCUGAAUCUAAGUUGCUCAAAAAAUUCUUAUCUCCAAAUCUAGCAGACGAUUGCGAUUGAAACCUCAGGUUACUGAUCUGUUUUAAUCCAAUUACUGUUUCUAUCUAAAUCUCACUUCGAUUCCGAGGUGUGAUUUUCAGCUGUGGAAGAUAACUUGUGCAGAAUAAGCUGAGAAGAAUAAGUUGCAUUCUGAUAGAAUAUUUUAUGUGAAAUGAGGCCUAACAAAUAGCACAGAUGUUUCACCUUCCUAUUGCGUAUAUCACAGAUGAAUUUUUUCUAGUGUUAUUUCUGAAUUUGAUAUUGUGAGACCAAGGUUUGUAUUUCCAUUUCAAUUAUUUUUAUGUAUGAAGGUAGAAUAAACAGUUUAAUUAUACAGCAGAUUGUC
Molecule: long non-coding RNA, 444 nt
Organism: Mercurialis annua (annual mercury)
Lineage: Eukaryota; Viridiplantae; Streptophyta; Magnoliopsida; Malpighiales; Euphorbiaceae
Exons: 4
Source: RefSeq, a predicted model, not a curated record